RNAcentral lists this ribosomal RNA (484 nucleotides) under uncultured bacterium. RNAcentral describes it as "partial 16S ribosomal RNA". It matches the Rfam family "Bacterial small subunit ribosomal RNA", at positions 30 to 507 of the family's 1533-position model. The record is from RNAcentral.
AUUGAACGCUGGCGGCAGGCCUAACACAUGCAAGUCGAGCGGAUGAAGGGAGCUUGCUCCUGGAUUCAGCGGCGGACGGGUGAGUAAUGCCUAGGAAUCUGCCUGGUAGUGGGGGAUAACGUCCGGAAACGGGCGCUAAUACCGCAUACGUCCUGAGGGAGAAAGUGGGGGAUCUUCGGACCUCACGCUAUCAGAUGAGCCUAGGUCGGAUUAGCGAGUUGGUAGGGUAAAGGCCUACCAAGGCGACGAUCCGUAACUGGUCUGAGAGGAUGAUCAGUCACACUGGAACUGAGACACGGUCCAGACUCCUACGGGAGGCAGCAGUGGGGAAUAUUGGACAAUGGGCGAAAGCCUGAUCCAGCCAUGCCGCGUGUGUGAAGAAGGUCUUCGGAUUGUAAAGCACUUUAAGUUGGGAGGAAGGGCAGCAAGUUAAUACCUUGCUGUUUUGACGUUACCAACAGAAUAAGCACCGGCUAACUUCGUG